CCCUUAGAUGUUCUGGGCUGCACGCGUGCUACAAUGGCGUUUCCAGCAAGUCUGCGAACCCGAGAGGGCCAGCGGAUCUUCGAAUUGGCGUCGUGAUCGGGACAGUCGAUUGCAAUUAUUUGACUCAAACGAGGAAUUCCUUGUAAUCGCAAUUCAUCAUAUCGCGCUGAAUACGUCCCUGCCCUUUGUACACACCGCCCGUCGCUCCUACCGAUUGAGCGAUCCGGUAAAUGUUUUGGAUUGGUGCCGGGGCGGCUAGCUGCCGGUCGCUACGAAAUUUUGUGAACCUUAUCGCUUAGAGGAAGGAAAAGUCGUAACA
Molecule: ribosomal RNA, 319 nt
Filed under: uncultured eukaryote
Lineage: Eukaryota
Description: partial 18S ribosomal RNA
Rfam family: Eukaryotic small subunit ribosomal RNA
Source: RNAcentral